RNAcentral lists this long non-coding RNA (277 nucleotides) under Olea europaea subsp. europaea. The record is from RNAcentral. Lineage: Eukaryota; Viridiplantae; Streptophyta; Magnoliopsida; Lamiales; Oleaceae.
CUUGAUGUGGUCGAUUUUCUUUUCCUUCUUAGACCUUACAUUUUUUGUAUGACCGCUUGAAUGUCUUUACCCUUCUCGUCUUCUUAUCGCCUCGCCAACAUAGGAUCGGAGCACUCGGGGAUGAGGAUGAGGAGAGGGAGGAAAAUGCGAAUCGCUGCUCGACAGCCACCAUAACCCGCUGCCCUGCCACACCAUACCAUCGUCGAGACACUCUUAUGUCAUGGUGGUGGCAGUGAUGACUUGGUUUGACGGUAGGCGGGUGGUGGUGGGUACGGUG